RNAcentral lists this transfer RNA (72 nucleotides) under Octopus vulgaris (common octopus). It matches the Rfam family "tRNA". From Rfam's summary of the family: Transfer RNA (tRNA) molecules are approximately 80 nucleotides in length. Their secondary structure includes four short double-helical elements and three loops (D, anti-codon, and T loops). The record is from Rfam by way of RNAcentral. Lineage: Eukaryota; Metazoa; Mollusca; Cephalopoda; Octopoda; Octopodidae. RNAcentral also lists the same sequence under 1 other name.
GGUCUCAUGGUGUAAUGGUUAGCACUCUGGACUUUGAAUCCAGCGAUCCGAGUUCGAAUCUCGGUGAGACCU